This 217-nucleotide ribosomal RNA is filed under the name uncultured bacterium. RNAcentral's name for it is "partial 16S ribosomal RNA". It matches the Rfam family "Bacterial small subunit ribosomal RNA", at positions 57 to 305 of the family's 1533-position model. The record is from RNAcentral.
GCAAGUCGAAUGAAUUUAUAUUCAUGGCGAACGAGGUAGUAACACGUAGGACUACGUACCCCAAAGUCAGGGAUAACCCAUCGAAAGGUGGAAUAAUACCUGAUGGUCCGGCAACGGUAAAGAUUAUCGCUUUGGGAACGGCCUGCGGAGUAUCAGCUAGUUGGUAAGGUAAAAGCUUACCAAGGCUACGACGCUUAGGGGAGGUGAGAGCCUGACC